UGCGCUCCCUGGGCGGUUCAGCGCAAAAAAGGAGGCGUGUUCCGGCGCAAACAAUCCCUGGUGCUAUUUUGCUGUUCCAUUAAACAAUUGCGCCACUGACCAGAAAAAACCUAGUCUAAAGUCAGUGGCGCGUUGCGCGUUGUUCAUUAUGCUAUUUUAAGGGCGCAUGCUUGACCAUAAUGUAUAGCGUGCACAACGCGCAUACACUUUGCUCAUGUAAUCUACACAGAUGCAACAGUUAUUUUUGCAAAUCAUAAAUUGUUACACUAAAAAAAAAUAUUAACACAUGAGAUGACGGAAAUCAUUGUGGUGUAUUUUGGGUGGGUUUCUCCCAUCCCCAUACAACACAACUUCUCUGUCUUUCUCUGCUCUUACAAGAACAUCAGUCUCCUCGGCUGUGAACCGCUCCUGGCGUGCGCCUGGUAAAUACGCCAUAAUAAUAGCAAUCCAUAAUGGAACUUGCGCACCUGCUUUUAAAGGGAAUGUUGGAUGACGCUCUGAUUGGUUUAUUUCACGUUACGCCCAAACCACACCUAUGAAUAAUGAAUCUACUUCAGACCAACCCAUUUUAGAUUUGAGCCGGGUGCAAGAGCCAUUUAUCCCGCCGGGAAAAUAGCAACAGUGUGCUUUAUUCUUCUUUAACAUCAUAUCUCACUCAGAAAGACAAGCGCACACACUGUAAAAAAUUAUUUAGCAGUUUAGUUGUUUCAAUGAAUUUUUUUAUGUUGACACAACUUGCAGUUACUGAAUUUGUUCAUUCAACUAAAAAUUUUAAGUUUUCAGUGUCUCAACUAGUUUGAAAGUUGACUGAACUAGGUCAUUUGUCCUCAUAACUUAAAAAAAUUUGUUGACUCAAUUCAAUAGCAAUAUCACGUUCACAACAUCACUUAUCGCGAGAUCUCGUCAUUCUCCUGAAUGCUGUUGAAGAGAGAAGAAGGUCGUCAGCCAUUCUAGUCAGUUUCUCCUCAAAGUUUGGACAUUUGACUAGAAUACAACUUUGAUUCAGCGCAGAAUUUAAUAAUCCUGUGGAUGGACCACAGCGAGUCCUUUUGCAGUUAUCCAUCAAAAAGAUAUGCAGACAUAAUGGAAAUGGCAUUUACAUUGUAGAGCUUGGACGAAGUUGUAAGUAAAUUUAUUUAUUUAUAAAUGCACAUUUAUUGGAGUCUAUAUGCUUUACGAUUGUAAGGCCCUGUUUAAUGCAUCCCUUUGUUUUUAUUAAAGCACACAGGCUCUGCACAGGAAUUGAUCAAGGACAUGACUGCUGGGAUUACGCUUGUGGAUGACCAAACUGAGCACCAUCAGUCUGCAGUCAUGUGGUCCAGCCAUCCAGUGACAUUAAGGAUGUUGAGAAAGAAAUUGAAGAGGGCAUUCUGAUUGUAACUGAGGAACAGCAAUGUGAUGUGCUUCCCAAGGAAUAACCAACAUUGGUCUCAUUUGGACAUCCUGUCAUCACUGACAUCUCCCAUGUCCCCAAGGCAUUUGGACUCUUAAUGGGUCUGUAUGCAGUGAACAGCACUACCUCCAGCGCAUUAAAUACACCAUUGAGGCUCUGUAAAAACUUGUGAAGACCAGCUGCUCCCACCAUGUGCUCGCUACAGCGGCAGGAACUGUAGGUGGGGGGAGUGAAUGUACAGCGCUCUCUCCACCCUCAACACCACAAAUAAGGUGUCCUUGAGCAAGGCACAACUUCUCCCUGGGCGCUGCAGCAUAAAUGGCUGCCCACUGCUCUGGGUGUGUGUUCACGGUGUGUGUUCACUGCUGUGUGUGUGCACUGUGGAUGGGUUAAAUGAAGAGCACAAAUGUAUGUCAUGUCACUUUCACUUUUCAGUGUUCAUGAUGUGUCCAUCGGCUCCACCGCACUCUUUCUUACAAAGUAGUGUUUUGUUUUUUUUUAUAAGGAAAGGUUCUUUUGUGCCUUUCACUAUAUAGAAUGUACAUUAAAGUUUACAUGUCAUGACUUGGAAUAUGCAUGUUCUCAUGUAAACAAAUGUUUUUUCACCUCUCAUUUUCUUAAACAGUAUGUACACAUUUUCAGUAUGUAGCAUUAUGAUGGGGGACGAGUUUGGAAACUUUCAAGAUCCUUCUGAUGUUAACACCUCUGUCUGGUCAUGUUGUGCUAUGAAAUUUAGAAUCUGACUUUAGAUCUUUGUUCUUCCAUGUGCAUUCAUUCCAUUUAUAUCUUAUUAUACAGAAGUACAGUACACUCAUUUUUUGUAACUAAUUGUGAUGUUAUAUACAUACAUCUUGGUUUCUCAUUUUGACCAUGACUUGCAUUAUGGUGGGGGGAGUGCAUGUGAACUUGUGCAGGGUUAAUAUGCAGAGUUCAACCUUCUGAUUUUCAUAUUGCAUUAUGAAAUUAAAAACAAUCCCUGUGGUUUUGAUCUGAUGAAUUGAAAUGCAACUAUAUGUUUCUCAAUCCCAUGCCAAUGUUAUUUAUUAUACAUCACACUUUCAAGUGUCGGUUCAGAUCUUUAGACGUGUUUGUAUUUUGCAUUUUUUGUUUUGUUUAUCAAUUAUCAGUUGAUGUGU
This is a long non-coding RNA of Carassius gibelio (silver crucian carp), 2529 nucleotides long. RefSeq lists it as uncharacterized. The transcript is spliced from 3 exons. The record is from RefSeq and is a predicted model, not a curated record. NCBI's taxonomy places the organism in Eukaryota, Metazoa, Chordata, Actinopteri, Cypriniformes, Cyprinidae.